This 484-nucleotide ribosomal RNA is filed under the name uncultured bacterium. RNAcentral's name for it is "partial 16S ribosomal RNA". It matches the Rfam family "Bacterial small subunit ribosomal RNA", at positions 28 to 507 of the family's 1533-position model. The record is from RNAcentral.
GAUGAACGCUGGCGGCAGGCCUAACACAUGCAAGUCGAGCGGACAAGUGUCUUGCGUACCUUGCGAGCGUUGUACGCGUGCGGAACACGAGUGCAUGGUGCCCCUAUCAGUGGGACAGGCUUUAGUACGGGAGAUUAAUGCCCCAUCCUGUAUUUGAUGUCAUCCUCAGAUUUUGAAAGCUUAGGCGGAUAUUGAUGGCCAUUCGCCAUAUUAGCUAGGUGGUAAGGUAACGGCUCAACAAGGCGACGAUCCGAAGCAGACCUGAGUGGGUGAUCGGCCACACUGGAACUGAGACACGGUCCAGACUCCUAAGGGAGGCAGCAGUAGGGAAUCUUCCGCAAUGGGCGAAAGCCUGACGGAGCAACGCCGCGUGAGUGAUGAAGGUCUUCGGAUCGUAAAACUCUGUUAUUAGGGAAGAACAAAUGUGUAAGUAACUAUGCACGUCUUGACGGUACCUAAUCAGAAAGCCACGGCUAACUACGUG